RNAcentral lists this ribosomal RNA (412 nucleotides) under uncultured bacterium. RNAcentral's name for it is "bacterial SSU rRNA". It matches the Rfam family "Bacterial small subunit ribosomal RNA", at positions 505 to 916 of the family's 1533-position model. The record is from RNAcentral.
GUGCCAGCAGCCGCGGUAAUACGGAGGGCGCAAGCGUUGCUCGGAAUUACUGGGCGUAAAGCGCGUGCAGGCGGUCGAGUAAGUCGGUUGUGAAAUCCCCAGGCUCAACCUGGGAACUGCAUCCGAAACUGCUCGGCUAGAGUCCCGGAGAGGGAGGCGGAACUCCCAGUGUAGGGGUGAAAUCCGUAGAUAUUGGGAAGAACACCGGAGGCGAAAGCGGCCUCCUGGACGGUGACUGACGCUGAGACGCGAAAGCGUGGGGAGCAAACAGGAUUAGAUACCCUGGUAGUCCACGCCGUAAACGUUGCGCACUAGGUGUCGGGAGAUUCACCCUCUCGGUGCCGACGCUAACGCAUUAAGUGCGCCGCCUGGGGAGUACGGCCGCAAGGCUAAAACUCAAAGGAAUUGACGG